Unclassified non-coding RNA from Papio anubis (olive baboon), 259 nucleotides. It matches the Rfam family "Metazoan signal recognition particle RNA". From Rfam's summary of the family: The signal recognition particle (SRP) is a universally conserved ribonucleoprotein. It is involved in the co-translational targeting of proteins to membranes. The eukaryotic SRP consists of a 300-nucleotide 7S RNA and six proteins: SRPs 72, 68, 54, 19, 14, and 9. Lineage: Eukaryota; Metazoa; Chordata; Mammalia; Primates; Cercopithecidae. The record is from Ensembl.
GCAUGCACCUGUAGUCCCAGCUACUAAGGAGGCCGAAGCAGAAGGAUCACCUGAGGCCAGAAGUUCUGGGCUGUAGUGUGCUAUGCCGAUUGAGUAUCCAUAUUAAGUUCAGCAUUAAUAUGGUGACCUAACGGAGGGGUGAACCUGCCCAGGUCAGAAAUGGAGCAGGUCAAAAGACUUGUGCUGAUCAGUAGUGGGACUGUACUUAUGAAUAGCCAAGGCACUCCAGCCUGGGCAACAUAGUGAGACUUCGUCUUUA